RNAcentral lists this ribosomal RNA (516 nucleotides) under uncultured crenarchaeote. RNAcentral describes it as "bacterial SSU rRNA". It matches the Rfam family "Archaeal small subunit ribosomal RNA", at positions 331 to 849 of the family's 1478-position model. The record is from RNAcentral. Lineage: Archaea; Thermoproteati; Thermoproteota.
CGCAGCAGUCGCGACAACUUUGCAAUACACGAAAGUGUGACAGGGCUAUCCCGAGUGCCAUCCGCUGAGGAAGGCUUUUACCCAGUCUAGAAAGCUGCGUUGUGCAAUACGGAGAGGGCAAGUCUGGUGUCAGCCGCCGCGGUAAUACCAGCUCUCCGACUGGUGUUGAUGUUUAUUGGGCCUAAAGCAUCCGUAGCUGGCUAAGUUAGUCCCCUGUUAAAUCCACCGAAAUAAUCGUUGGAUCGCGGGGGAUACUGCUUGGCUAGGGGACGAGAGAGGCAGACGGUAUUUUCGGGGUAGGGGUGAAAUCCUAUAAUCCCGGGAAGACCACCAGUGGCGAAGGCUGUCUGCUAGAACGCGCCCGACGGUGAGGGAUGAAAGCUGGGGGAGCGAACCGGAUUAGAUACCCGGGUAGUCCCAGCUGUAAACGAUGCAGGCUAGGUGUUUGGACGGCCACGUGCCGUUCUAGUGCCGCAGGAAGCUGUAAGCCUGCGCCUGGGAGUACGAUCGCAAGAU